This 460-nucleotide ribosomal RNA is filed under the name uncultured bacterium. Its description in RNAcentral is "partial 16S ribosomal RNA". It matches the Rfam family "Bacterial small subunit ribosomal RNA", at positions 338 to 795 of the family's 1533-position model. The record is from RNAcentral.
CCUACGGGUGGCAGCAGUGAGGAAUAUUGGUCAAUGGACGCAAGUCUGAACCAGCCAAGCCGCGUGAAGGAAGACGGCUCUAUGAGUUGUAAACUGCUUUUGUAAAAGGAUAAAGCCCGGUACGUGUAUCGGGUUGAAAGUAUCGUACGAAUAAGGAUCGGCUAACUCCGUGCCAGCAGCCGCGGUAAUACGGAGGAUUCAAGCGUUAUCCGGAUUUAUUGGGUUUAAAGGGGGCGUAGGUGGGUCGUUAAGUUAGGGGUGAAAGCCCGGGGCUCAACCCCGGCAGUGCCGUUGAUACUGGCGGGCUGGAGUUUAGUUGAGGUAGGCGGAAUGCAUGGUGUAGCGGUGAAAUGCUUAGAUAUCAUGCAGAACUCCGAUUGCGAAGGCAGCUUACCAAACUACGACUGACGUUGAGGCACGAAAGCGUGGGGAGCAAACAGGAUUAGAUACCCUAGUAGUC